AAUGAUUAAAAGUAUAAGGUGUAAUUAGAAAACAAAUUCGAUGCAUAUAUAUAAAAAUUCAAUUUAAGGAGUUAAGAAACCCCCAAAAUAAAGGCCCGUUAAAGCCCAAUCCCAUCCUUCUCUCUCUUAUAAUUUUCGCCCCUCUCCCUCUGUACAAUCACCCACAAAAACACAACUCACACACAAUCACUCACCACUUACGCAGCCUCCUCACUCCCACUCUCUCUCUCAACCGACCACCCCCCCAUCCUUCUCCUCCUCUUCUCGGCUCCCUCUUGGUGCCCUGCCGCCGCGUCGACAGCAACAGUCGGUCAGGCCGCCUUCCCCUUUCCAGAUCUGGUGCCGCCCAACCGCCGUCGCCGCCUCCCUGCCCAUCUUCGCCGGCCGCCGUGGCGCGGCAGCGCCCAGCGACGCCUACUAGCCAACUCCCCCUUCGCCUCUCCGGCUGUCCAGCAGUCAUACACUCACCAACAAUUUCCCCUCCCUUCUUCUAUUUCUAUUUCC
This 504-nucleotide long non-coding RNA is filed under the name Salvia miltiorrhiza (redroot sage). Its description in RNAcentral is "long non-coding RNA (SMIL_LNC002337)". The record is from RNAcentral. Lineage: Eukaryota; Viridiplantae; Streptophyta; Magnoliopsida; Lamiales; Lamiaceae.